GCCUACGGGGGGCAGCAGUAGGGAAUAUUGCUCAACGGGGGAAACCCUGAAGCAGCAACGCCGCGUGGAGGAUGAAGGUUUUCGGAUUGUAAACUCCUUUUGUUAGAGAAGAUAAUGACGGUAUCUAACGAAUAAGCACCGGCUAACUCCGUGCCAGCAGCCGCGGUAAUACGGAGGGUGCAAGCGUUACUCGGAAUCACUGGGCGUAAAGAGCGCGUAGGCGGGAUAGCAAGUCAGAUGUGAAAUCCUAUGGCUUAACCAUAGAACUGCAUUUGAAACUGUUAUUCUAGAGUAUGGGAGAGGUA
This 305-nucleotide ribosomal RNA is filed under the name uncultured bacterium. Its description in RNAcentral is "bacterial SSU rRNA". It matches the Rfam family "Bacterial small subunit ribosomal RNA", at positions 337 to 659 of the family's 1533-position model. The record is from RNAcentral.